This 429-nucleotide ribosomal RNA is filed under the name Bacteroidota bacterium. RNAcentral describes it as "Bacteroidetes bacterium partial 16S ribosomal RNA". It matches the Rfam family "Bacterial small subunit ribosomal RNA", at positions 355 to 776 of the family's 1533-position model. The record is from RNAcentral. Lineage: Bacteria; Pseudomonadati; Bacteroidota.
UAGGGAAUCUUCGGCAAUGGGGGGAACCCUGACCGAGCAACGCCGCGUGAGUGAAGAAGGUUUUCGGAUCGUAAAGCUCUGUUGUUAAGGAAGAACGAGUGUGAGAAUGGAAAGUUCAUACUGUGACGGUACUUAACCAGAAAGGGACGGCUAACUACGUGCCAGCAGCCGCGGUAAUACGUAGGUCCCGAGCGUUGUCCGGAUUUAUUGGGCGUACAGCGAGCGCAGGCGGUUAGAUAAGUCUGAAGUUAAAGGCAGUGGCUCAACCAUUGUAGGCUUUGGAAACUGUUUAACUUGAGUGCAGAAGGGGAGAGUGGAAUUCCAUGUGUAGCGGUGAAAUGCGUAGAUAUAUGGAGGAACACCGGUGGCGAAAGCGGCUCUCUGGUCUGUAACUGACGCUGAGGCUCGAAAGCGUGGGGAGCGAACAGG